GAAGCUGACCAGACAGUCGCCGCUUCGUCGUCGUCCUUUCGGGGAGACGGGCGGAGGGGAGGAAAGUCCGGGCUCCAUAGGGCAGGGUGCCAGGUAACGCCUGGGGGGGAAACCCACGACCAGUGCAACAGAGAGCAGACCGCCGAUGGCCCACGUAAGUGGGAUCAGGUAAGGGUGAAAGGGUGCGGUAAGAGCGCACCGCGCGGCUGGUAACAGUCCGUGGCACGGUAAACUCCACCCGGAGCAAGGCCAAAUAGGGGUUCAUAAGGUACGGCCCGUACUGAACCCGGGUAGGCUGCUUGAGCCAGUGAGCGAUUGCUGGCCUAGAUGAAUGACUGUCCACGACAGAACCCGGCUUAUCGGUCAGUUUC
RNAcentral lists this RNase P RNA (371 nucleotides) under Salmonella enterica. Its description in RNAcentral is "partial RNase P RNA component class A". It matches the Rfam family "Bacterial RNase P class A". Rfam says of the family: Ribonuclease P (RNase P) is a ubiquitous endoribonuclease, found in archaea, bacteria and eukarya as well as chloroplasts and mitochondria. Its best characterised activity is the generation of mature 5'-ends of tRNAs by cleaving the 5'-leader elements of precursor-tRNAs. The record is from RNAcentral. Lineage: Bacteria; Pseudomonadati; Pseudomonadota; Gammaproteobacteria; Enterobacterales; Enterobacteriaceae. RNAcentral also lists the same sequence under 1 other name.